Molecule: ribosomal RNA, 497 nt
Filed under: uncultured bacterium
Lineage: Bacteria
Description: partial 16S ribosomal RNA
Rfam family: Bacterial small subunit ribosomal RNA
Source: RNAcentral
GAUGAACGCUGGCGGCGUGCCUAAUACAUGCAAGUCGAGCGAACAGACGAGGAUCUUGCUGCUCUGACGUUAGCGGCGGGCGGGUGAGUAACACGUGUAUAACCUACCUAUAAUACUGGGAUAAUUUCGGGAAACGGGAGCUAAUACCGGAUAAGAUAUUGAACCGCAGGGUGCAAUAGUAAAAGACGGUGGUGCUGUCACGUAUAGAGGCAUCCCCGCCGCAUUAGGUAGUUGUUAAGGUAACAGCCUACCAAGGCAACCAUGCGUAGCCGAAGGGAGGGGGUGAUAGGCGACACUGGAACUGGACCACGGUCAAGAGUACUAAGGGAGGGAGCAGUAGGGAACCUUACGCAAUGGGGGAAAGCAUGACGGAGCAACGCCGAGUGAGUGAUGAAGGUGUCCGGAUCGUAAAACUCGGCUACUAGGGAAGAACAAAUGUGUAAGUAACUAUGGACGUCUUGACGGUACUUAAUCAGAAAGCAACGGCUAACUACGUG